UAGUGUCUGGCCUGUAACGGUCCCUCUAUACGAGGGGUAAAUGGGAAUGUGGCGCCGCGUUCGGAAGAACGCCAAUCCACAGCUGCCCCCGCAACUGUAAGCGGGUAGUCGCAUGCCGGGACGCCACUGGGGGCCUAAAACCCUUGGGAAGGCGGCAUGCGACGCCGAUCCGCAAGCCAGGAAACCUGCCGUUCGAUCGAGGAUAGGC
RNAcentral lists this non-coding RNA (208 nucleotides) under Methylocella tundrae. The record is from RNAcentral. Lineage: Bacteria; Pseudomonadati; Pseudomonadota; Alphaproteobacteria; Hyphomicrobiales; Beijerinckiaceae.